This is a long non-coding RNA of Oncorhynchus tshawytscha (Chinook salmon), 720 nucleotides long. The record is from Ensembl. NCBI's taxonomy places the organism in Eukaryota, Metazoa, Chordata, Actinopteri, Salmoniformes, Salmonidae.
AAGAGAGACAACUGCAGGCCUACUAAUGAAACACAACAACUACUUUUUGGAGUGCCCAUCCCUCCCCCUGGAUUAUCGGUGGCCAGCUAGCGUAAACGGUGAGACUCCUCCUGAAGGUUCAACCACGGGGUUAUGGCCCAGAGGAGAGGUGCUGGGUCCCUGCUAAACACAUCUUGAACCCGGCCCUCAUCGCCGACACCCCGCUCAGCCAGGUAUGUGCCCAGUCUUUCCGGUUUUGACCCCUGCCAGGCUCUGGACUACUUUCUCGCCUGCCUGAUCAUCCUGCCUGCCCUGACCUUGACUGCCUGCCAUUCGAGGAACUGAGCCCUAGGACCAUGCCUCAGGACUACCUGACAUGAUGACUCCUUGCUGUCCCCAGUCCACCUGGCCGUGCUGCUGCUCCAGUUUCAACUGUUCUGCAUUAUUAUUAUUAUUAUUAUUAUUAUUGGACCAUGCUGGUCAUUUAUGAACAUUUGAACAUCUUGGCCAUGUUCUGUUAUAAUCUCCACCCGGCACAGCCAGAAGAGGACUGGCCACCCCUCAUAGCCUGGUUCCUCUCUAGGUUUCUUCCUAGGUUCUGGCCUUUCUAGGGAGUUUUUCCUAGCCACCGUGCUUCUACACCUGCAUUGCUUGCUGUUUGGGGUUUUAGGCUGGGUUUCUGUACAGCACUUUGAGAUAUCAGCUGAUGUACGAAGGGCUAUAUAAAUAAAUUUGAUCUGA